Phrynosoma platyrhinos (Desert horned lizard) is the source of this 68-nucleotide non-coding RNA. NCBI's taxonomy places the organism in Eukaryota, Metazoa, Chordata, Lepidosauria, Squamata, Phrynosomatidae. The record is from the annotation of a GenBank genome assembly.
CCAGGAAGGCAUAAUGGUUUGAGCGUUGGACUACAACUCUGGAGACCAGGGUUCGAAUCCCUGCUGAG